This 253-nucleotide ribosomal RNA is filed under the name uncultured bacterium. Its description in RNAcentral is "partial 16S ribosomal RNA". It matches the Rfam family "Bacterial small subunit ribosomal RNA", at positions 524 to 776 of the family's 1533-position model. The record is from RNAcentral.
UACGUAGGGUGCGAGCGUUAAUCGGAAUUACUGGGCGUAAAGCGUGCGCAGGCGGUCUUGUAAGACAGAUGUGAAAUCCCCGGGCUCAACCUGGGAACUGCAUUUGUGACUGCAUCGCUGGAGUGCGGCAGAGGGGGAUGGAAUUCCGCGUGUAGCAGUGAAAUGCGUAGAUAUGCGGAGGAACACCGAUGGCGAAGGCAAUCCCCUGGGCCUGCACUGACGCUCAUGCACGAAAGCGUGGGGAGCAAACAGG